UAAGUAUUUUAAAUGUUCUGAUUUAAUGAUUUCCUCAAAAUGGAUUUUAUGCACGCAUUGGUAUUUUAUUAAAAUGUUUGGUUAAUGAUUUUGCGUAUCGACUUUGAAUAAAGCAUGACAGUAUUUUAAAGACAAGAAAAGUGGAUUCAAAUGUGGUAUGAUUUAAAGUAUGGUUAAAAGGUAUGUGAAUAUGAGUAUAGUGAUUAUUUUU
Molecule: long non-coding RNA, 211 nt
Filed under: Citrus maxima (pomelo)
Lineage: Eukaryota; Viridiplantae; Streptophyta; Magnoliopsida; Sapindales; Rutaceae
Description: long non-coding RNA (CMAX_LNC001869)
Source: RNAcentral